Molecule: ribosomal RNA, 805 nt
Filed under: Bullifex porci
Lineage: Bacteria; Pseudomonadati; Spirochaetota; Spirochaetia; Spirochaetales; Spirochaetaceae
Description: bacterial SSU rRNA
Rfam family: Bacterial small subunit ribosomal RNA
Source: RNAcentral
AUAACGGAGAGUUUGAUCCUGGCUCAGAACGAACGCUGGCGGCGCGUUUUAAGCAUGCAAGUCGAGCGGUAAGGUCCUUCGGGACCCUAGAGCGGCGGACGGGUGAGUAACACGUGGAUAAUCUGCCUUCCAGUUUGGGAUAGCACAUGGAAACAUGUGAUAAUACCGAAUGAGAUACAGCAUACAAAGGUAAGCAGUAGGAAAGCUCCUGCGGGAGCGCUGGAAGAUGAGUCCGCGGCCCAUUAGCUAGUUGGCGGGGUAAAGGCCCACCAAGGCGACGAUGGGUAGCCGGCCUGAGAGGGUGGACGGCCACAUUGGGACUGAGACACGGCCCAGACUCCUACGGGAGGCAGCAGCUAAGAAUCUUCCACAAUGGACGAAAGUCUGAUGGAGCGACGCCGCGUGAACGAUGAAGGCCGUAAGGUUGUAAAGUUCUUUUUGGAAGGAAGAAUAAGCUUGGCAGGGAAUGGCCGAGUGAUGACGUGAAUUCCAGAAUAAGCCCCGGCUAACUACGUGCCAGCAGCCGCGGUAACACGUAGGGGGCGAGCGUUGUUCGGAAUUAUUGGGCGUAAAGGGCACGCAGGCGGCUUGGCAAGUCUGAUGUAAAAAUUCAGGGCUCAACCCUGUCUGGCGUUGGAAACUGCUGAGCUUGAGUACAGGAGGGGAUAUUGGAAUUCCAGGUGUAGGGGUGAAAUCUGUAGAUAUCUGGAAGAACACCGAUGGCGAAGGCAAAUAUCUGGCCAUGUACUGACGCUGAGGUGCGAAGGUGCGGGGAGCAAACAGGUUUAGAUACCCUGGUAGUCCG